RNAcentral lists this ribosomal RNA (253 nucleotides) under uncultured bacterium. RNAcentral describes it as "partial 16S ribosomal RNA". It matches the Rfam family "Bacterial small subunit ribosomal RNA", at positions 524 to 776 of the family's 1533-position model. The record is from RNAcentral.
UACGUAGGGUGCAGGCGUUAAUCGGAAUUACUGGGCGUAAAGCGUGCGCAGGCGGUUUGUUAAGACAGGUGUGAACUCCCCGAGCUCAACUUGGGAAUUGCGCUUGUGACUGCAAGACUAGAGUGCGGCAGAGGGGGGUAGAAUUCCACGUGUAGCAGUGAAAUGCGUAGAUAUGUGGAGGAAUACCGAUGGCGAAGGCAGCCCCCUGGGUCGACACUGACGCUCAUGCACGAAAGCGUGGGGAGCAAACAGG